Long non-coding RNA from Asterias rubens (European starfish), 713 nucleotides. RefSeq lists it as uncharacterized. NCBI's taxonomy places the organism in Eukaryota, Metazoa, Echinodermata, Asteroidea, Forcipulatida, Asteriidae. The transcript is spliced from 5 exons. The record is from RefSeq and is a predicted model, not a curated record.
GGCUGACAAGAAAAGACGAAGUUUUCUCUUCAGUUAAUCCGUAUUUUUUGUGCCAAAUCGAUUGGCGAAAACACUGCAAAGUGAGCGAGAUCAAGUAUUUCAGACAGAGAGUGUCAGAUCUUUGUUCAUAUUGGCUGACCAUUAAACAGUCAACUGAAGCAUAUCUGUGAAGGAUGAAGCAUUUGGACCACUUCACCAACUUCAAAGGAUCAAAUAAUUCAGACAGAGAGUGUCAGAUCUUUGUUCAUAUUGGCUGACCAUUAAACAGUCAACUGAAGCAUAUCUGUGAAGAAUGAAGCAUUUGGACCACUUCGCCAACUUCAAAGGAUCAAGUAAUUCAGACAGAGAGUGUCAGAUCUUUGUCCAUAGUGGCUGACCAUCAAACAGUCAGCGGAGAUAUAAGCUUGAUCUGUGAAAGAUGAAGCAUUUGGACAACUUUACCAACGUCAAAAGAUCAACUAAUCGAGACAGAGAGUGGCGGAUCUCCAUUCAAGUUCAAGGCCAUCAUCAGUGGAGAUGCAGUGUUGGUCAACAGUAAUUUAGCGUUUGUAGCUUUGAAUUUAUAACUACUUGUAUCUGGGAUGGAUCUGAAGGUUUAAUAUAAUAUCACCAAGAUAAUGAAGGCUUUCCUUGAAAGAGCAUCAUUGUCUGCAAGAUUGAAAUGUGCACAUCCUGAGUGGUGAAUCAUUCAUACUUUCCUUGUGUGGUGAUCU